This 500-nucleotide ribosomal RNA is filed under the name uncultured bacterium. RNAcentral's name for it is "partial 16S ribosomal RNA". It matches the Rfam family "Bacterial small subunit ribosomal RNA", at positions 30 to 523 of the family's 1533-position model. The record is from RNAcentral.
AUUGAACGCUGGCAGCAUGCCUUACACAUGCAAGUCGAACGGCAGCACGGGAGCAAUCCUGGUGGCGAGUGGCGAACGGGUGAGUAAAGUAUCGGAACGUGCCCAGUCGUGGGGGAUAACGUAGCGAAAGUUACGCUAAUUCCGCAUACGAUCUAUGGAUGAAAGCGGGGGAUCGCAAGACCUCGCGCGAUUGGAGCGGCCGAUAUCAGUUUAGGUAGUUGGUGGGGUAAAGGCUCCCCAAGCCGACGAUCUGUAGCUGGUCUGAGAGGACGACCAGCCACACUGGGACUGAGACACGGCCCAGACUCCGACGGGAGGCAGCAGUGGGGAAUUUUGGACAAUGGGCGAAAGCCUGAUCCAGCCAUGCCGCGUGCAGGAUGAAGACCUUCGGGUUGUAAACUGCUUUUGUACGGAACGAAAAGGUUUGGCCUAAUAAGCUGAGCUCAUGACGGUACCGUAAGAAUAAGCACCGGCUAACUACGUGCCAGCCGCCGCGGUAA